UAUCCGCAGCACAAGUGGUGGUCAUUAUUAUUGGGCCUAAAGCGUCCGUAGCUGGCUUGUUAGAUGCCUGGGUAAAUCGAUGCGCUCAACGUAUCGAACUCCGGGUAGACCGGCAAGCUUGGGACCGGGAGAGGCGUGAGCUACUCGAGGGGUAGGGGUAAAAUCCUGUAAUCCUUCGGGGAGGACCAGUGGCGAAGGCGUCACGCUAGAACGGCUCCGACAGUGAGGGACGAAGCCCUGGAGCGCAAACCGG
Molecule: ribosomal RNA, 253 nt
Filed under: uncultured bacterium
Lineage: Bacteria
Description: partial 16S ribosomal RNA
Rfam family: Archaeal small subunit ribosomal RNA
Source: RNAcentral